This 429-nucleotide ribosomal RNA is filed under the name uncultured Methanolinea sp. RNAcentral's name for it is "bacterial SSU rRNA". It matches the Rfam family "Archaeal small subunit ribosomal RNA", at positions 910 to 1338 of the family's 1478-position model. The record is from RNAcentral. Lineage: Archaea; Methanobacteriati; Methanobacteriota; Methanomicrobia; Methanomicrobiales; Methanoregulaceae.
ACUCAACGCCGGGCAGCUCACCGGAUAAGACAGCUGGAUGAUAGCCGGGCUGAAGACUCUGCUUGACUAGCUGAGAGGAGGUGCAUGGCCGUCGUCAGCUCGUACUGUGAAGCAUCCUGUUAAGUCAGGCAACGAGCGAGACCCACGCCAACAGUUGCCAGCAUGUCCUCCGGGAUGAUGGGGACACUGUUGGGACCGCCUCUGCUAAAGAGGAGGAAGGAAUGGGCAACGGUAGGUCAGCAUGCCCCGAAUUAUCCGGGCUACACGCGGGCUACAAUGGUCAGGACAAUGGGUAUCGACACCGAGAGGUGGAGGCAAUCUCCUAAACCUGUCCUUAGUUCGGAUUGUGGGCUGCAACUCGCCCACAUGAAGCUGGAAUCUGUAGUAAUCGCGUCUCAAAAUGGCGCGGUGAAUAUGUCCCUGCUCCUU